AAGCAUUGUGGCACCCCGGCUCAGAGAAAACUGGAACGCCCCGUAUUCUAGCCCAGAGAUCGAGGUGAAGUCUUCUGGAAUAUAACACUGCUUAGCAUAGAACAAACCAGCUCUCCUAUUACAACAUGAAUAUGAUUACAAGGUCUCCGAUAUUACAAUGAAUAACAUCGGCACGGCGACACUACGCCAUCCUCAGUUGCUCUAUGCAAGCAGCACAAUACUUGAAGCAGCGGAACAACUACUGGCAGCGGAACAACGAACGACGACGAUGGACUCCAAUCCGUAGGGACUCUGGCUGUAACGUUUAUCCUAGCUCGCGAACACAAGAACAACACCAAACAAGCAAGUAAUCCAGACACGACCUGCAAGCUGGCAUGACACGCCAGGUCAGUACAUUGAAUGUACUUGCAAGCUCACAAUAACCAGAAGCAUUCAAGACAAACAAUAGCAUGGCAAUUACAGGUUAAGCAGGAAUUGAUAUGAGAUCAUCAGAAUAACAUGGCAUUAACAACAUGACAUCCAAAGUAAUACUUCCAAAAUAAUACCAGAUACCAUCAUGAAAAUAACCAUAAUAGCCACUAAGAAUCCAAAGGCAAUAUGAACCUGAUACAGCUAGAACAAUAUGAGCAUAGCAUGAACAUAUUAAUCUGACGAUACUAGCAUGCAACAUGAUGGCACUACAUGCACCAAUUAUUCUGCUCGGGUUAUCUCGUAACCAUCACGCGCAUCACUUACCCACCUCGGACAUUACAUGAUCAUCUCAGGAUCAAAUCAAGAUUGGUAUAAACAAUACCGUAGUAAUCAUUAAAUGACCACAAGGAGCUUGAUCUUUACCCAUGAUUCUCGCACAACAGCACGAAUAUCCAACAACUCGGUAUCCUCGAUACCACAGUGAUCAUUCCGGCGAUCACAACCAUGACCACCACUGGGUCUCAAACCAUGAUCCUUACGGCGAUCACAACCACUUAUCUCAUCAUCAAACCGGGGUUGUCAUUAAUUAUGUUAUUAUUAAUACUGUUGACUCACGGUGGGACCGACACGAACUGGGCCCUUAUCCGCGGGCACGGCUAUCGAUAGAUUUAAUAUACACUCUGCAGAGGUAGCACACUGUACCCACACCACGGAACCCAUGGCCUCGCACUCCCAUUCGGGUGGACCAACGACGUUCCGACAAAACCGAUCUAUUGCCAUGACACUCUCCCGGCCACUCCGACCCACUCCCAACUGGGCUAGUCCUGGGUGGCCCCGUGUCUACCAAAGACACCCCACCACCGUCGUGGUCAAACUCCCUCACGGGGAAAACUCCCUCACGGGGACCGGAUCCAUAAAAACAAUGUGCACACAAGGUUAUGGCUGCUUAGUGGGCCAGGGUACGCACGCCCAUAACCUUCCCUCGUGGGAGGCACCGGCGAGAUGCACGACAAUAGAUCCAGUUAGGACCCCCCAUAAGGUAAGCGUGGUUGCACUGGUCAGUUUCGAUCUGGCGGCACCAUGACUCAGCCAACAGUUGUUCAAGUUCAAUUAAAUCCGGUUAAACUUGAAUGCAAUAUGCUGAGCCAUGAUAAAAUAACAUGAUGCAAUUACAAUGCAUGAACAUGAUAUCAACAUAAGCACGGGAUGCAACAUAACUCUCCAUCAUAUCGACUAUGAAAUAAUCUCCAACUGAACAUGGCAUAAUGACGAGCAUAAAUAUUACAAGUGCAACACUACUCAUAGUAUAACAUAACAUGACCAUUAUCAUCAACCAUAAAUAACAUGCAAGAACUCAUCAAUAAUAUUACCAAGUAACACUUAACCAACUAACAGCAACGGAACAAUGCCUAUUAACAGUACUCGGUAACCGACGUUAGUCAUGCACCGAAGAGCAUGACCAACCCAAAAUGUACUACUAUCAAGCAUGGCAAUAUGAAAGUAAAACUAACAACUAGCAGGGCAUGAUAACCAGGUGCAUAAUAACAUAGCAAACAACUAAGCACUAACCUAGAAACAUUACCGGAACAACGAUAACCAUCUUUUAAACAAGCAAUCAUUUAAUAAAUAUUCAAGUUGAAAACCAUGGCUACUGCAUGACUAUCAUGCAAGUGGGUAUUGUGGCUUGCCUGGGGUGACGGAGACUCUAGAAAGAAGUGCGGUGAAGCCGCGGAACGAAACGUCGGACGGUACGUACUCGGAGGGGGCUGAUUAGAGGCAAUGACAAAAUGGUCAUUUUCACUGUGAAACCAUCUAGUGAAAAUGUUACCAAAAGAUAGAGAACGGCGAUACGAAGAAGUGAGCGUUGGUUUCACCUCAAUCGGAGUUACGGUUGAAAAGUUGUGAAGGUUGGAAGAACAGGCACCAAUCUGUGAAAAUUUUAUCACCAACGGGUCCCUGAGUGGAUAAGACAAAAACAGAUUACACAAAAUACGCUUUCUUAAUAAGAAAACGUACUUCAGGCCGAAGUAGAAACGAACUAGGCCUUCAUUGGAAGAAGACGUACUCAGGGAAAUAUGUUUCCACUUACGUGACGUGUAGUGCCGGGGUCAACGGGCAGAGGAUGACAAGCGGGG
RNAcentral lists this long non-coding RNA (2546 nucleotides) under Triticum aestivum (bread wheat). RNAcentral's name for it is "long non-coding RNA (TAES_LNC025447)". The record is from RNAcentral. Lineage: Eukaryota; Viridiplantae; Streptophyta; Magnoliopsida; Poales; Poaceae.